Molecule: unclassified non-coding RNA, 279 nt
Filed under: Hevea brasiliensis (rubber tree)
Lineage: Eukaryota; Viridiplantae; Streptophyta; Magnoliopsida; Malpighiales; Euphorbiaceae
Source: RNAcentral
GUCUAUAUUUGGGUACACAAUUUUUUUUUUUUUUGGAGAAACUGGUACUUGUAAAAUUUCCUAAACCAACCGGUAAAGUAAUCUACCGGACGAUCGGAACAUGGAGUGGGAGAGUGAUGAGAGAGAGCUAAAGGCUGUCGGAGCUAAGCCUCUACCGGACGGACGGAGUGGACUCCGUAUACACGGCUGGGAGAUUGAGUCUAGAAAGCAUUCCAUUCUCACUUCUCUUCAGCUUCAACAGUAUUCUUUUACUCCUUUUAUAUGUACAAUUCAAUUAAG